CCUACGGGUGGCAGCAGUGAGGAAUAUUGGUCAAUGGGCGCGAGCCUGAACCAGCCAAGUCGCGUGAGGGAAGACGGUCCUAUGGAUUGUAAACCGCUUUUGUCGGGGAGCAAAAGACGCCACGCGUGGCGUUCCGAGAGUACCCGAAGAAAAAGCAUCGGCUAACUCCGUGCCAGCAGCCGCGGUAAUACGGAGGAUGCGGGCGUUAUCCGGAUUUAUGGGGGUUAAAGGGUGCGCAGGCGGAAGAUCAAGUCAGCGGUAAAAUUGAGAGGCUCAACCUCUUCGAGCCGCUGAAACUGGUUUUCUUGAGUGAGCGAGAGGUAUGCGGAAUGCGUGGUGUAGCGGUGAAAUGCAUAGAUAUCACGCAGAACUCCGAUUGCGAAGGCAGCAUACCGGCGCUUAACUGACGCUCAUGCACGAAGGUGUGGGUAUCGAACAGGAUUAGAUACCCUAGUAGUC
This 459-nucleotide ribosomal RNA is filed under the name uncultured bacterium. Its description in RNAcentral is "partial 16S ribosomal RNA". It matches the Rfam family "Bacterial small subunit ribosomal RNA", at positions 338 to 795 of the family's 1533-position model. The record is from RNAcentral.